GAUGAACGCUGGCGGCGUGCCUAAUACAUGCAAGUCGAGCGAACGGACGAUAAGCUUGCUUCUCUGAUGUUAGCCGCGGACGGGUGAGUAACACGUGGAUCCCCUCCCUAUAUGACUGGGAUCUCUUCGGGACACCGGCGCUAAUACCGGAUAAUAUUUUGAUCCGCAUGGUUCAAUAGUGAAAGACGGUCUUGCUGUCACUUAUAGCUGCAUCCGCGCUGCAUUAGCUUGUUGGUAAGGUAACGGCUUACCAAGGCAACGAUGCAUAGCCGACCUGAGAGGGGGAUAGGCCACACUGGAACUGAGACACGGACAAGACGACUGAGGGAGGCAGCAGUAGCGAAUCUGACGCAAUGGGCGAAAGCAUGGCAGAAUGGCGGCGCGUGAGAGAUAAAGGUGUUGCGAUCGGAAAACUCUGUUAUGAGGGAAAAACAGAUGUGUAAGUAACUGUGGACAUCGUGACGGUACCGAAUCAGAAAGCAACGGCUAACUACGUG
This 497-nucleotide ribosomal RNA is filed under the name uncultured bacterium. RNAcentral's name for it is "partial 16S ribosomal RNA". It matches the Rfam family "Bacterial small subunit ribosomal RNA", at positions 28 to 507 of the family's 1533-position model. The record is from RNAcentral.